Molecule: ribosomal RNA, 457 nt
Filed under: uncultured bacterium
Lineage: Bacteria
Description: partial 16S ribosomal RNA
Rfam family: Bacterial small subunit ribosomal RNA
Source: RNAcentral
GAUGAACGCUGGCGGCGUGCCUAAUACAUGCAAGUCGAGCGGAAAGGCCCUUCGGGGUACUCGAGCGGCGGACGGCUGAGUAACGCGUAGGAACGUACCCCAAAGUGAGGGAUAACUGCUCGAAAGAGUAGCUAAUACCGCAUGUGCUCUUCGGAGUAAAGCUUCGGCGCUUUGGGAACGGCCUGCGUCCUAUUAGCUAGUUGGUGAGGUAAUUGCUCACCAAGGCGACGAUAGGUAGCUGGUCUGAGAGGAUGAUCAGCCAGACUGGGACUGAGACACGGCCCAGACUCCUACGGGAGGCAGCAGUAGGGAAUUUUCCACAAUGGGCGAAAGCCUGAUGGAGCAACGCCGCGUGCAGGAUGAAUGCCUUCGGGUUGUAAACUGCUUUUAUAGGUGAAGAAUAUGACGGUAACCUAUGAAUAAGGAUCGGCUAACUCCGUGCCAGCAGCCGCCGCGG